This is a non-coding RNA of Capsicum annuum, 107 nucleotides long. NCBI's taxonomy places the organism in Eukaryota, Viridiplantae, Streptophyta, Magnoliopsida, Solanales, Solanaceae. The record is from Rfam.
UGAUGGUGAUGAGGAUAAUUUCUAAGCAUACCCUUAAAUCUUUCCUAUGCUUGGUAAAGAUUUUCUUCUUUUUUCGGCCUGAAACUCAGAAUCUCGCUUCUUAAGGG